RNAcentral lists this ribosomal RNA (274 nucleotides) under uncultured bacterium. RNAcentral describes it as "partial 16S ribosomal RNA". It matches the Rfam family "Bacterial small subunit ribosomal RNA", at positions 85 to 354 of the family's 1533-position model. The record is from RNAcentral.
CCGCCGGCGACCGGCGCACGGGUGAGUAACACGUAUGCAACCUGGCCGUGACAGAUGGAUAACCGGGAGAAAUCCCGCCUAAUACAGCAUGGACGCCGGGAAGGGACAUCCCUUUCCGGCCAAAGGGGGCGACUCCGGUCACGGAUGGGCAUGCGGCGCAUUAGGUAGUUGGUGGGGCAACGGCCCACCAAGCCGACGAUGCGUAGGGGUUCUGAGAGGAAGGUCCCCCACAUUGGAACUGAGGCACGGUCCAAACUCCUACGGAAGGCAGCAG